RNAcentral lists this ribosomal RNA (497 nucleotides) under uncultured bacterium. RNAcentral's name for it is "partial 16S ribosomal RNA". It matches the Rfam family "Bacterial small subunit ribosomal RNA", at positions 28 to 507 of the family's 1533-position model. The record is from RNAcentral.
GAUGAACGCUGGCGGCGUGCCUAAUACAUGCAAGUCGAGCGAACAGACGAGGAGCUUGCUCCUCUGACGUUAGCGGCAGACGGGUGAGUAACACGUGGAUAACCUACCUAUAAGACUGGGAUAACUUCGGGAAACCGGAGCUAAUACCGGAUAAUAUAUUGAACCGCAUGGUUCAAUAGUGAAAGACGGUUUUGCUGUCACUUAUAGAUGGAUCCGCGCCGCAUUAGCUAGUUGGUAAGGUAACGGCUUACCAAGGCAACGAUGCGUAGCCGACCUGAGAGGGUGAUCGGCCACACUGGAACUGAGACACGGUCCAGACUCCUACGGGAGGCAGCAGUAGGGAAUCUUCCGCAAUGGGCGAAAGCCUGACGGAGCAACGUCGCGUGAGUGAUGAAGGUCUUCGGAUCGUAAAACUCUGUUAUUAGGGAAGAACAAAUGUGUAAGUAACUAUGCACGUCUUGACGGUACCUAAUCAGAAAGCCACGGCUAACUACGUG